UGGCAAUUAGCUCAGUUGGUUCAGAGCAUUCCGAUUUUAUAUCGGAAGGGUCGGGGGUUCGAAUCCCUCAUCGCCCA
This 77-nucleotide transfer RNA is filed under the name Bacteroidetes bacterium CG2_30_32_10. RNAcentral describes it as "tRNA-OTHER". It matches the Rfam family "tRNA". From Rfam's summary of the family: Transfer RNA (tRNA) molecules are approximately 80 nucleotides in length. Their secondary structure includes four short double-helical elements and three loops (D, anti-codon, and T loops). Lineage: Bacteria; Pseudomonadati; Bacteroidota. RNAcentral also lists the same sequence under 2 other names. The record is from RNAcentral.